UAUACGAGUUAACCGGAGUGUGUGUUUACAGUCUAUGGUGUGAAUCUGUGAAAGAUAUGCAUUUGUCAGGAAUCAACAGGCACAGGGAAGAGACAGAUAAAACAUUAAACCAAUUAAAUUAUAAUCACAUAAGAAUUGUCUUCGUUCCUCCCCAGACAGCAGGUGAUUCCGUGCCGGAUCCGUUUUCAAACCGGCAAAUCCGCGUUACAGUCACCUCCGUUUCACUGCUCUAAAACGGAUCCAGCCCGGUCCCGGUUUCCGUGGGCGGGAACAACAGUCGCAACGCAGAUUCGGCCCGUAUCCGCGGAAACGAGCGCGCGAAUUUUUUUCUGGAGUUUAGAAGAGGAGGCAGCCACAGACGGUGCUCGGUCGGUAUCCUACUUCAAAAACAUCACCAAAGAGCUGUAAGGAAUAACCAGUCCUCUACCAGUGCAGCAGAUUCUUGCCUUUGACUGUGGCGGUGGCCAGAAGGAACGUGCCAAAGCCAAAGAGGCCUUAACUGAGAUGCCUCAUGGGAAUUAAAUGGCACAUAUGAAGUGGUUUGUAAUACAAUGGUUUUCUGACCUGUCCUGAUUUGGUUCUUGAUAUGUUUAUGGUUCAUUAUAUGAAAUUAUUUUUUGUAUGCUUUUUUUCCCCCAUUUCUUCUAUUUUUUUCUUCUUUAAAUAUACAUUAAGAAAAGUCGUGAGAUUGUUUAACUGUUCAUGUAUCAAUGUUUUAAAGGAUAGUUCACCGGAAAAUGAAAAUUUGCUGUUAAUUUACUCACCCUCAAUUUUGAGAUUUUUUCUUCAGUUUACACAAAAGAUUUUUAACGUGGUCCUUGGUGAUUCGUAUAAUGCAAGUCAAUGGCUACCGUCACUUUGAGAGUCAUAAAAACAUAUUACAGGCCAAACAAAGUUAAUACCUGUGACUGAUGCUGACGUUACAUUGAGGUCUUAUGAAUCAUCCGGAGCCACAGGUAUUCUUUUUGUUUUGUCUGUAUAUGUUUUUUUGAGUUUCAAACUGACUGUAGCCAUUGACUUUUAUAUUAUACUUUUAUAUUAUACAAAUCACCAAGGACCACAUUUUCAGCUAAAAAUCUUCUUUACUGAUAGUAAAUUAACGGCAAAUUUUAAUUUUUGGGUGAAUGAUCCCUUUAAGCUUAGUGAAUAUAAUGUAACUAGAGACUUAAAUGAUUAGUUCACUUUCAAAUGAAAAUUACCCCAAGCUUUA
Long non-coding RNA from Megalobrama amblycephala (Wuchang bream), 1210 nucleotides. RefSeq lists it as uncharacterized. The record is from RefSeq and is a predicted model, not a curated record. The transcript has 3 exons. Lineage: Eukaryota; Metazoa; Chordata; Actinopteri; Cypriniformes; Xenocyprididae.